CUUCUGUGAUGAUUCGAUGACGAGACGGAGCAGGAGCUUAUCUGGUUCCGGGGGCGACCGGUUCAGGACCACGUUCUGUGGUUCUGCUCCAGUUCCUCGGAUCCACGGUUCCUUUUCUCGUGAAGACACCGAGGCAUUUGUCUGAGAAGG
Molecule: small nucleolar RNA, 150 nt
Organism: Fundulus heteroclitus (mummichog)
Lineage: Eukaryota; Metazoa; Chordata; Actinopteri; Cyprinodontiformes; Fundulidae
Source: Ensembl